Molecule: ribosomal RNA, 496 nt
Filed under: uncultured bacterium
Lineage: Bacteria
Description: partial 16S ribosomal RNA
Rfam family: Bacterial small subunit ribosomal RNA
Source: RNAcentral
AUGAACGCUGGCGGCGUGCCUAAUACCUGCAAGUCGAGCGAACAGAUGAGGAGCUUGCUCCUCUGACGUUAGCGGCGGACGGGUGAGUAACACGUGGAUAACCUACCUAUAAGACUGGGAUAACUUCGGGAAACCGGAGCUAAUACCGGAUAAUAUAUUGAACCGCAUGGUUCAAUAGUGAAAGACGGUUUUGCUGUCACUUAUAGAUGGAUCCGCGCCGCAUUAGCUAGUUGGUAAGGUAACGGCUUACCAAGGCAACGAUGCGUAGCCGACCUGAGAGGGUGAUCGGCCACACUGGAACUGAGACACGGUCCAGACUCCUACGGGAGGCAGCAGUAGGGAAUCUUCCGCAAUGGGCGAAAGCCUGACGGAGCAACGCCGCGGGAGGGAUGAAGGUCUUCGGAUCGUAAAACUCUGUUAUUAGGGAAGAACAAAUGUGUAAGUAACUAUGCACGUCUUGACGGUACCUAAUCAGAAAGCCACGGCUAACUACGUG